This 770-nucleotide ribosomal RNA is filed under the name uncultured archaeon. RNAcentral describes it as "bacterial SSU rRNA". It matches the Rfam family "Archaeal small subunit ribosomal RNA", at positions 589 to 1356 of the family's 1478-position model. The record is from RNAcentral.
CAGCUUGGGACCGGAAGGCUCGAAGGGUACGUGCGGGGUAGGAGUGAAAUCCCAUAAUCCCGCACGGACCACCGAUGGCGAUAGCACUUCGAGAAAACGGAUCCGACAGUGAGGGACGAAAGCCAGGGUCUCCAACCGGAUUAGAUACCCGGGUAGUCCUGGCCGUAAACAAUGUUCGCUAGGUAUGACACAGACUACGUGUCUCUGUUGUGCCGUAGGGAAGCCGAGAAGCGAACCGCCUGGGAAGUACGUCUGCAAGGAUGAAACUUAAAGGAAUUGGCGGGGGAGCACUACAACCGGAGGAGCCUGCGGUUUAAUUGGACUCAACGCCGGACAUCUCACCAGCUCCGACUACAGUGAUGACGACCAGGUUGAUGACCUCAUCACGACGCUGUAGAGAGGAGGUGCAUGGCCGCCGUCAGCUCGUACCGUGAGGCGUCCUGUUAAGUCAGGCAACGAGCGAGACCCGCACCCCUAAUUGCCAGCAACAGUUCCGACUGGUUGGGUACAUUAGGAGGACUGCCAGUGUUAAACUGGAGGAAGGAACGGGCAACGGUAGGUCAGUAUGCCCCGAAUGAGCUGGGCAACACGCGGGCUACAAUGGCUAAGACAAUGGGUCGCUAUCUCGACAGAGAACGCUAAUCUCAAAACUUAGUCGUAGUUCGGAUUGAGGGCUGAAACUCGCCCUCAUGAAGCUGGAUUCGGUAGUAGCCGCCUUUCAGCAGAAGGCGACGAAUACGUCCCUGCUCCUUGCUCACACCGCCCGUCAA